This 403-nucleotide ribosomal RNA is filed under the name Verrucomicrobiota bacterium. Its description in RNAcentral is "Verrucomicrobia bacterium partial 16S ribosomal RNA". It matches the Rfam family "Bacterial small subunit ribosomal RNA", at positions 355 to 776 of the family's 1533-position model. Lineage: Bacteria; Pseudomonadati; Verrucomicrobiota. The record is from RNAcentral.
UGGGGAAUAUUGCACAAUGGGGGAAACCCUGAUGCAGCGACGCCGCGUGAGCGAAGAAGGCUUUCGAGUCGUAAAGCUCUGUCCUCUGAGAAGAUAAUGACGGUAUCAUAGGAGGAAGCCCUGGCUAAAUACGUGCCAGCAGCCGCGGUAAUACGUAUGGGGCGAGCGUUGUCCGGAAUUAUUGGGCGUAAAGGGUACGUAGGCGGUCUAUUAAGUCAGGUGUGAAAGCGUGAGGCUUAACCUCAUUAAGCACUUGAAACUGAUAGACUUGAGUGAAGGAGAGGAAAGUGGAAUUCCUAGUGUAGCGGUGAAAUGCGUAGAUAUUAGGAGGAAUACCGGUGGCGAAGGCGACUUUCUGGACUUUUACUGACGCUCAGGUACGAAAGCGUGGGGAGCAAACAGG